RNAcentral lists this non-coding RNA (45 nucleotides) under Trichobilharzia regenti. The record is from RNAcentral. Lineage: Eukaryota; Metazoa; Platyhelminthes; Trematoda; Strigeidida; Schistosomatidae.
AUCCAACUGACUAGUCCCAAAUAGGACGAAAUGCGCAUCCUGGAU